Long non-coding RNA from Lynx canadensis (Canada lynx), 1600 nucleotides. RefSeq lists it as uncharacterized. The transcript is spliced from 4 exons. Lineage: Eukaryota; Metazoa; Chordata; Mammalia; Carnivora; Felidae. The record is from RefSeq and is a predicted model, not a curated record.
CUGGUAACAGGAAAGAGAAGAAAAGUCUGUGGACAGAAUAGGCAAAGAGAAGAGGGGAAAAAGUAAAUAGCUAAGAUAAUCACAUUUUGAUGUAUUUAGAUGCAAAACAGAAGAAAGGAAGAACCAUGUGUGACUCAUGUCGAAUCUGAAGCCAGUGAUUAGAGGGUGAAGCAGAAUGAUGAAAUAGAGGAAGAGUUCUAUGAAGGGUGCAGAAGCAGAAGAUUGCCCUUUCAAGAACUUUUCGUGACCUUCUCCUAAGAAACUACCACUGGGCCCGGUAAAUGUUCAGAUAUGCAUCCGUCUAUCCUCUCAAAGGUUGGAAACCUUCAUUGCCAGCAACUGGAGGAUGCUGUCACGAGAAUACAACGAAGCAAACAGAAAGCCUACAAAGACACAGGUGAAGACAACAAAGAAUGUAAUUGUUCAUGUGGAAGGCCAAGAAAAGUUUUGUAAAGAGAGGCUGUGCUUCCUGAAGUGUCUACAGAUGGAUAUGGAAAAAGGAUGGGGAAUGCACUGGGCCAGUGAGCUUUCCAGGUAAAUCUGAAGAACUGAUACGGCGUACAUUGAAACAAAGGAACAGGUCUUUAAAGGCCUUCUGAAAUCCAACGUUGUGGUCUCCUCUCAUGUUUCAGGAGCCCUGAAAGGAGGUGGACCAUGGAGAAAGUCAGCCUGUGAUUGUCUCAUGUCCGUUGAAAAGUAAAGACCACAAGAUAAUGACGGAUUGUGGGUGAUCCUCUCCCAGUCUUGGAUGCUCAGUCAGGCUAUGGUGUUUGCCAGAAAUCAGUGAUAUUUCAGAACGUUGGAAGGUGACCCCAAGCGGAACUCGUGUAUUUUUUGUCACUUCAAAGCACCUAUGGACAGUCCUUUGCUUUACCAUACAAGACUAAGCUUAGGAAUGUUUUGUUUCAUUCGAGGUCAGGCUGCCUGCCUUUCCUCUGAGAUAUAGACCCUUUCCUCUGCUGCCUUAUUGCCAGGUACAUUAAAUACAGUAUAUGACAAGAGUUUAUUAAUACUGUACUGGGGUCAACAUCCGUACAAGUUCAUACAAUGGCCCCCAUACAGAAAAAGGUUGAAAAGAAAAGCAGUAAGAAAAAGGAUGAUUACGGUGGAGGUUAAAAGGAUAUCAGCAAGAAGUAUGAAUGAAGUACGCAAGUGGCCGAAAUUGCAAGAUUUCAUAAGGAGUCUGCGUCUGCAUCUCGUCUGCACAUGAGGAGGAGAAAAAGGCAGAAGACACCCUCACUUCAACUGACAUUAGGGAGAUGUGUCAAAUGUGGGAAACAUUGCAAAAUUUUAUAGACAAGCACCACCCGAAUAAAGAUGUAGCAGUGCAAGUGAUGAAUCGGUUUAACGACAAUGCAGCGUCACAGUUCCGCGAAAUCCUCAAAAGGAGGCAAAAGCAAGUGUCGUUGAAUAGGUUCUUGUUAAAGUUGCAUGACAAGAAAAAAAUUCCCUUGAGCCAAUAGAUAGCAGUGAUUCUACGAGUGAUAAUGAAAAUUGUCCCACACGAUAACCCUCCUCCCUUGUCACGAAGGCUCACACCAGCCACGAAGGUUUUCAAAGAGAGACAAAGAGAGAGCAUGAAGGAGAGGGAAAGAGAGAG